UAACCUACCUAUAAGACUGGGAUAACUUCGGGAAACCGGAGCUAAUACCGGAUAAUAUUUCGAACCGCAUGGUUCGAUAGUGAAAGGUGGUUUUGCUAUCACUUAUAGAUGGACCCGCGCCGUAUUAGCUAGUUGGUAAGGUAACGGCUUACCAAGGCGACGAUACGUAGCCGACCUGAGAGGGUGAUCGGCCACACUGGAACUGAGACACGGUCCAGACUCCUACGGGAGGCAGCAGUU
Molecule: ribosomal RNA, 240 nt
Filed under: uncultured Staphylococcus sp.
Lineage: Bacteria; Bacillati; Bacillota; Bacilli; Caryophanales; Staphylococcaceae
Description: partial 16S ribosomal RNA
Rfam family: Bacterial small subunit ribosomal RNA
Source: RNAcentral